GCGAGGGCGGCGAGCGGCACGUCGACGGGCUUGACCAGCCCGGGCGCGGCGCCGGUGCCGCCCGCGGCGGGUCCCGUACCCCCCGUCGCCCC
Molecule: transfer RNA, 92 nt
Filed under: Streptomyces fumanus
Lineage: Bacteria; Bacillati; Actinomycetota; Actinomycetes; Kitasatosporales; Streptomycetaceae
Description: tRNA-Val(gac)
Source: RNAcentral